GACUUAAAAUCCGUCGACUUUGAAAAUCGUGAGG
This 34-nucleotide transfer RNA is filed under the name Aquilaria sinensis. Its description in RNAcentral is "partial tRNA-Leu". The record is from RNAcentral. Lineage: Eukaryota; Viridiplantae; Streptophyta; Magnoliopsida; Malvales; Thymelaeaceae.